Long non-coding RNA from Xenopus laevis (African clawed frog), 638 nucleotides. RefSeq lists it as uncharacterized. The record is from RefSeq and is a predicted model, not a curated record. NCBI's taxonomy places the organism in Eukaryota, Metazoa, Chordata, Amphibia, Anura, Pipidae. The transcript is spliced from 4 exons.
GGCUCUUACGAGCGAAAGAUAUCGCGAGAUUUGAUCUCUACUUUAUAAUCGACGUGUAGCCUGACGGAUUCUUACAACUCACGUUCCGACGUAGUGGUGGAAUAAAAGUGAGUUAACCUGAAAAACGACAUCACUGCACCCAGACUAUGGAUUCCUUGAAGAGAAACAGCAGCUCAUUGAAACACCGGGGGUUCCCCUUGGAUUUUGAAGAACAAGCGCACAGGAAAGGCCCGAGACAAUGUCACAGAACUAGAGGAACUUUAUUUGGGAAAGUUACAAUAAUGGAGCAGCGAGUGCUGAGCAAAUGGAAGAACAAAUAUGUCUGUCAGGGACAAUGUUCUGACCUGCCCUUCCUAUGCCGACGCAUUGAGGCUGAACAAUUAGUCAUUGAUCUUAUGUUCUAUCUUCUAAAGUAGCUUUGAUGGAAACAGUUUCACUUUCUUGCUGGUUACAAGUAGUUUUUUUUUUAAAAAAAAAGGAAUGUCCACAAGAAAAAAAUAUGGUUUGCAUAAUAACAGAAACAUUGCAAAUUUUAUCAGACUUAAUUUGAGUUUUCUCUGAAAGAAACUCAAAUGACUCAAAGGCUACAAACAACUCCAAAUUUAUCCCUGGACCUCUCCAGUUGACUUAAACAGCAA